This 2230-nucleotide ribosomal RNA is filed under the name human gut metagenome. Its description in RNAcentral is "bacterial LSU rRNA". It matches the Rfam family "Bacterial large subunit ribosomal RNA", at positions 194 to 2421 of the family's 2925-position model. The record is from RNAcentral.
UGAAACAUCUAAGUACCCGGAGGAAGAGAAAUCAAACGAGAUGCCCACAGUAGCGGCGAGCGAAGAGGGCAGAGCCCAAACCGAGAAGCUCCGGCUUUUCGGGGUUGAGGACCGGCAGAAUCGAAGUCAGGCCUAGUCGAAUUACCUGGAAAGGUAAGCGAGAGAGGGUAAAAGCCCCGUAGACGAAAGGCAGAGCAGAGAGGCCGAGAUCCAGAGUACCACGAAGCACGAGGAAUUUUGUGGGAAGCAGGGGGGACCACCCUCCAAGGCUAAAAACUACUUGGCGACCGAUAGCGCAUAGUACCGUGAGGGAAAGGUGAAAAGAACCCCGGGAGGGGAGUGAAAUAGUACCUGAAACCGUAUGUCUACAAGCAGUCGAAGCGAAAGCGACGGCGUGCCUAUUGAAGAAUGAACCAACGAGUUAUCUGCACUAGCGAGGUUAAGUGGAAGACACGGAGCCGCAGCGAAAGCGAGUCUUAAGAGGGCGCUAGUUAGUGUAGGUAGACCCGAAACCGCAGUGAUCUACCCAUGUCCAGGUUGAAGCGCAGGUAAAAUUGCGUGGAGGACCGAACCGGUGAGCGUUGAAAAGCUUUCGGAUGAGAUGUGGGUAGGGGUGAAAUUCCAAUCGAACGCGGAGAUAGCUGGUUCUCCCCGAAAUAGCUUUAGGGCUAGCCUGAGGUAGUAAGUAUAGGCGGUAGAGCACUGAUCGGGCUAGGGGCCGUAAAGGUUACCGAACCCUGUCAAACUCCGAAUGGAUAUACUGUAGAGCCUUGGAGUCAGACUACGAGUGAUAAGAUCCGUGGUCAAAAGGGAAACAGCCCAGACCACCAGCUAAGGUCCCCAAUGUCGUACUAAGUGGAAAAGGAUGUGGGGUUUCAUAAACAACCAGGAUGUUGGCUCAGAAGCAGCCACCAUUUAAAGAGUGCGUAAUAGCUCACUGGUCGAGAGACCCUGCGCCGAAGAUUCCCGGGGCUAAAGUACGAAACCGAAGCUGUGGCUGUAUACGUAAAGUAUACGGGGUAGGGGAGCGUUCCCAUAGGGUAGAAGUCGAACUGGAAGGUUCGGUGGACUUGUGGGAAGUGAGAAUGUUGGUAUGAGUAGCGAAAAGAAAGGUGAGAAUCCUUUCCACCGAAAGCAUAAGGAUUCCUGAGCAACGAUCGUCGUCUCAGGGUAAGUCGGGACCUAAUCCGAGGCAGAGAGCGUAGGAGAUGGACAACUGGUUGAUAUUCCAGUACCGGUAGUAAUUGUUUGAGCAAUGGAGUGACACAGAAGGGCAGGCAAGCAUGCGAAUGGAAGAGCAUGUGUAAGCGUGUAGGGUGGUGCAUAGGCAAAUCCGUGCACUGAAAGCCUGAGGCGUGAUGCGGAGUGAGCAGAGAUGCGAGCGAAGUUGUUGACCCCACACUGUCGAGAAAAGCUUCUAGUGAGAGAGCUACCGCCCGUACCGUAAACCGACACAGGUAUGCGGGGAGAGAAUCCUAAGGUGCGCGGGAGAACCCUCGUUAAGGAACUCGGCAAAAUGUACCCGUAACUUCGGGAUAAGGGUAGCCACUGUUGUGAAGUCCCAUGCGGAUGGAGCAUAGAGUGGUCGCAGAGAAGAGGCCCAAGCGACUGUUUACCAUAAACACAGGUGCCUGCUAAAGCGAAAGCUGACGUAUAGGUGCUGACACCUGCCCAGUGCCGGAAGGUUAAGGAAGGAUGUUCGGAUUAGUCCAAAGCAUUCGACUGAAGCCCCGGUGAACGGCGGCCGUAACUAUAACGGUCCUAAGGUAGCGAAAUUCCUUGUCGGGUAAGUUCCGACCCGCACGAAAGGUGUAACGAUUUGGGCACUGUCUCAACGAGGGACCCGGUGAAAUUGAAAUACCUGUGAAGAUGCAGGUUACCCGCGACUGGACAGAAAGACCCCAUGGAGCUUUACUGUAACCUGACAUUGGGUUUUGAUACAUUACGUACAGGAUAGGUGGGAGGCUUGGAAAGUUGGACGCUAGUCUGACUGGAGCCGACGUUGGGAUACCACCCUUGAUGUAUUGAAAUUCUAACCGCGAGAGUAACGAAAUCCGGGACAGUGUCAGGCGGGCAGUUUGACUGGGGCGGUCGCCUCCGAAAGAGUAACGGAGGCGCCCAAAGGUUCCCUCAGCGCGGCCGGAAAUCGCGCGAAGAGUGUAAAGGCAGAAGGGAGCUUGACUGCGAGUCAAACACGACGAGCAGGUACGAAAGUAGGGCUUAGUGAUCC